Molecule: transfer RNA, 75 nt
Filed under: Marinomonas profundimaris
Lineage: Bacteria; Pseudomonadati; Pseudomonadota; Gammaproteobacteria; Oceanospirillales; Oceanospirillaceae
Description: tRNA-Gly
Rfam family: tRNA
About the family: Transfer RNA (tRNA) molecules are approximately 80 nucleotides in length. Their secondary structure includes four short double-helical elements and three loops (D, anti-codon, and T loops). Further hydrogen bonds mediate the characteristic L-shaped molecular structure. tRNAs have two regions of fundamental functional importance: the anti-codon, which is responsible for specific mRNA codon recognition, and the 3' end, to which the tRNAs corresponding amino acid is attached (by aminoacyl-tRNA synthetases). tRNAs cope with the degeneracy of the genetic code in two manners: having more than one tRNA (with a specific anti-codon) for a particular amino acid; and 'wobble' base-pairing, i.e. permitting non-standard base-pairing at the 3rd anti-codon position.
Source: RNAcentral
GCGGGAAUAGCUCAGUGGUGGAUCACAACCUUGCCAAGGCUGGGGUCGCGAGUUCGAGCCUCGUUUCCCGCUCCA